GACCCACCAAUUUAACAUCAAACUCAGAUGUUGAACGUGAAGGAUAACGUUGCGUCAGCAACGGCCCGUAGGGCGAGGCGAAGCCGAGUCAUCCUGCACGACCCACCA
RNAcentral lists this small RNA (108 nucleotides) under Salmonella enterica. RNAcentral describes it as "partial RtT sRNA". It matches the Rfam family "RtT RNA", at positions 45 to 130 of the family's 130-position model. From Rfam's summary of the family: This family represents a bacterial cis-regulatory element known as RtT RNA. Lineage: Bacteria; Pseudomonadati; Pseudomonadota; Gammaproteobacteria; Enterobacterales; Enterobacteriaceae. The record is from RNAcentral. RNAcentral also lists the same sequence under 3 other names.